Long non-coding RNA from Micropterus salmoides (largemouth bass), 558 nucleotides. RefSeq lists it as uncharacterized. The transcript has 3 exons. The record is from RefSeq and is a predicted model, not a curated record. NCBI's taxonomy places the organism in Eukaryota, Metazoa, Chordata, Actinopteri, Centrarchiformes, Centrarchidae.
AGGAAAAACGGAUCGACGCGUCUGCGUUGCUGGGUAGAUAUAAAACAAAAACAACAACGUUUGUGUCUGUCGGAGUUUGAAGCUUGGACACAACAGACGGUAUCAUUUGAAAUUCGCACGCUGUUCUGCUGCACAAUCUCUUUUCUAUUUUAGAACAUGGCAACUGACUGCGAGGCCUGGCUGAACGCAAACCCCGUCGAGGCUGAGGACCUGAGUGACUCCUUUUUAUCUGGAGACGAAGACACUGGAAGAUUGGCAUCUCCAACAAAAACAUCAACAAUGAGAUCAAUGGCAACUGGUUGACCACGUCUAGCAACAGCAUCCAUGAAGCACGCCUCAAGGCGAAGGCCAAGCGGAGGCUGAGAAAAAACUCCUCCAGGGACUCUGGGAGGGGGGACUCUCUCAGCGAUAAUGGGGAUGUGGUUAAGGGGACCUCUGCGGCACCCACCAGCCCCAAGAGCAAGCUGCUGGACAGAAAGUCCCGAUUGGGCAAGGGCAGAGGUCUGCCAAAGAAAGGUGAGAAGACUUGACAUUUUAAUAAAGUAAUAAGUCAGUCCA